This is a small nucleolar RNA of Otolemur garnettii (small-eared galago), 104 nucleotides long. NCBI's taxonomy places the organism in Eukaryota, Metazoa, Chordata, Mammalia, Primates, Galagidae. The record is from Ensembl.
AUCCUUUUGUAGUUCAUAAAUAUGAUGAUUGGGUUUUUAUGCACAUGCAUGAAAUGUGCUUCCGACAAAUGUUGUUAUGACAUCGGCACAUUUCCCGUCUGAUG